RNAcentral lists this ribosomal RNA (555 nucleotides) under uncultured fungus. RNAcentral describes it as "eukaryotic LSU rRNA". The stretch from base 193 to 346 matches the Rfam family "5.8S ribosomal RNA". The record is from RNAcentral. Lineage: Eukaryota; Fungi.
AAGGAUCAUUACUGAGUCUGGGUCCUCUGGGCCCCUUCUCCAACCCUUUGUCUAUCUUACCACGUUGCUUUGGCGGGCCCGUCCCUAACCGGACCGCCGGGGGUGGUCCCACCCCUGGUCCGCGCCCGUCAGUAGCCCCCCUUCCAAAUUCCUUGAACAGUGUCGUCUCAGUCUUAUAGCAAUGAAAUUUAAAACUUUCAACAACGGAUCUCUUGGUUCUGGCAUCGAUGAAGAACGCAGCGAAAUGCGAUAAGUAAUGCGAAUUGCAGAAUUCCGUGAGUCAUCGAAUCUUUGAACGCAAAUUGCGCCCUUUGGUAUUCCGAAGGGCAUGCCUGUUCGAGCGUCAUUAUCACCCCUCAAGCCCGGCUUGCUGUUGGGUCCGGCCCCGGGGCUUUCACUCCCGGGGGACCCGAAAGAUAAUGGCAGAGCCCGUGGGGACCCUGGAUGCAACGAGCUUCUCCAGCACGCGUCUGGGCGGUCUUCCGGCUCGGUUUUAACCGAUGAAUCUUCUCUAAGGUUGACCUCGGAUCAGGUAGGGAUACCCGCUGAACUUAA